This 77-nucleotide transfer RNA is filed under the name Jeongeupia sacculi. RNAcentral's name for it is "Jeongeupia sp. HS-3 tRNA-Pro". It matches the Rfam family "tRNA". From Rfam's summary of the family: Transfer RNA (tRNA) molecules are approximately 80 nucleotides in length. Their secondary structure includes four short double-helical elements and three loops (D, anti-codon, and T loops). Lineage: Bacteria; Pseudomonadati; Pseudomonadota; Betaproteobacteria; Neisseriales; Chitinibacteraceae. The record is from RNAcentral.
CGGAAUGUGGCGCAGCCUGGUAGCGCACUUGCAUGGGGUGCAAGGGGUCGCGAGUUCGAAUCCCGCCAUUCCGACCA